Molecule: RNA transcript, 3431 nt
Organism: Xiphias gladius (swordfish)
Lineage: Eukaryota; Metazoa; Chordata; Actinopteri; Istiophoriformes; Xiphiidae
Gene name: CTD nuclear envelope phosphatase 1A
Exons: 12
Source: RefSeq, a predicted model, not a curated record
GGCUCCUCGCGGAAGUGACGGCAAGGCGGCGAUGGCGGCUCGCAGUUUCAUUCCGGAUUUCCACUGGACUACAAACUGAUUUUAACCGGUCCGGUUAGACUUUGGGGAACUUUUGUACAGCUGUCUCUCCUCGGACGCCGCAAAGAGUGAAGUCGCGUUGAACCGUUGCUUGACAACGAGCGGCCCAACAGCUUUUUUGGGGUAUUUUUAUCCAAGGUUCAAGGUGGUCACCCUGUCGAGCUAGCGGUAGCUCGGCGGCUACUAGCUAACGUUAGUUGGUACACAGCUAGCUCUUGAGCUAGCUUGUCAACUAGCUGCGUGCUAAGGUUCAUACAUCAGCAGUCGUCGUGCAGCCGCCUCUCUUUUGACCACGUCCACGUUUAUCUUUUACAGUAACGAUGCGAAUGCACUCUAUUUAAUGCUAAUUGUGCCACAAGUGUGCAGAGCAAGAUACUCACACGUUUGCUUGGCCUCUUGUUCAUUUGAAUCGCUAGUUUGGCGGCUGUGGCUAAAGACGGAUUUUGACUCACUAGCAAGAAGGUUUCUUCAGUAAUUACCCCAACAACUUCGGGCAGAAGCGUGCUAUCAACUGAGAAUUGAAGUUGAGCUGCUGUGGGGUCUUUGCGUGCUUAUCAACAUGCUGAAGACCCGGCAGUGUUUACUUGGCAUCCGCACUUUUCUCGGCGUAACGUCCAGAAUAUGGGGCUUCAUCAUGUACAUCCUCAGGAAGCACCUGCGAACGAUAAUCCAGUAUCAGACGGUGCGAUACGACACUUUGCCUCUGUCACCUAUCUCCAGAAACAGACUGAAUGCAGUAAAGAGGAAGAUUCUGGUUCUGGACCUGGACGAGACGCUGAUCCACUCUCACCAUGACGGAGUCGUCAGACCCACAGUGAGACCUGGCACGCCGCCAGACUUUAUCCUCAAAGUCGUCAUUGAUAAGCACCCAGUCAGAUUCUUCGUACAUAAAAGGCCACAUGUUGAUUUUUUUUUAGAAGUGGUGAGCCAGUGGUAUGAGCUGGUGGUUUUCACAGCCAGUAUGGAGAUCUACGGCUCAGCGGUGGCAGACAAGCUGGACAACAACAGGAACAUCCUGAAACGAAGAUACUACAGACAGCAUUGUACAUUUGAUCUAGGUAGUUAUAUUAAAGACCUGUCUGUAGUACACGAUGACCUGUCCAGUAUUGUCAUCCUGGACAACUCGCCUGGUGCUUAUCGUAGCCAUCCAGACAAUGCAAUACCCAUCAAGUCCUGGUUCAGCGACCCUAGUGACACAGCACUUCUUAACUUGCUGCCUAUGCUGGAUGCACUAAGGUUCACUGCUGAUGUCCGCUCCGUCCUCAGUCGAAACCUCCACCAGCACCGGCUCUGGUGAUUGGCUGAAUCAAGAGGGGCGGGACUUGUUGACCAGCCUCUUCCUCUCUGCCGGCUUCCUUCCUGCCCUCCGUUCCCACACAGACGACCCACCAGCCCUCUCUGAGCCUCUCAGAUGUGUCCUGAGGAGAUGAGGGUUGGGGUGAACGCCUAUCACGGGAUGAACAGUAUGGGAUCACCAGAGCCCAGAAACUACUGGGAGGGAGGGAGAGCCAGCUUGUUUUUUUGUUUUUGUUUUUUUUUUUCUGUUUUUUUUUUUCCCCUUCUUCUUCUUCUUGAUUCUUUAUUUGUUUUUUGUUUUUGUUUUUUCCAAAACAAAAUGGAGCCUCUCUGCCUUAUCGCUCCUGAUACUGACUGUGCGCAUAUGGAGGUGAGCUUGUGUACAUGAGUCGGAGUAUGCUUGCUGAGUUCGUUAGUCCUUUUUAAACUUUUUGAAGAUUGGGAGGGGGGAAAGAGAGGGAUCAGCAAAGCAACAAAGACAACUCUACAUUAUUAAUUCUUGUUCCUCUCCAUCAUCAUCAGACGUUGCACUUCAGCAAACAACUCAUCAGUUUACUGUCUUAACCUCUCAGAGCAGCUGAGAUGGGGAAAAUAGAAAACCGCCCCUUUUUUAGAUCAAACUCGUACCCCAAACGGUCAUUCAUUGAGUCCCAAGGUACUUUCUUUUCCUCUCCCAACAAGAAUGGAUCGAUUUACAUGGUGUAAUUGAUGGAUUUUUGCUUUCAACAUACCAUCCACAGGCAUUUUUCUGGACAAAUAGCCAAGCGGUCUGCUAAUUUUUUUUUUUUUUUUUUUUUUUUUUCUUCCCAGCCAUAACAUCACUCUUUCCAUAAAACUCCACAUGGGACUCAGUGAUAAAGACUUGCCUGAAAAGUUGUGAGAAAAAAAGAAUGGCUUGUAACGAUAUGUGGACUGCCGUGCCGCCUUUCCAUAUCUGAUUGUUUCUCUGGUACCAAGAUAUAUGAUAAUAUGACUUCUGCAUACCAUGACAUUUCACUCUUCCCCUUUACCAUUUGAUGCCAUCCUGAUUUCAUCUAAAAGGAAUUGCACUUAAUUUUUUCCCCCUUCUGUUUUUGUUGCAGUUGGUUUUGUACUUGGUUCAAAUUUGAAGCCUUCCCCUUUCAGUUUCUACCCGCUCCCCUUAAUGUAUGGGUUCAACUAUUAGACCCUCCGUCUUUAAAUGCCUUCUGAACAAUGUCAGUCUUGUUAAGGCUCACAGCGGCUUCUCAUUGGCUCUGUCUCCAGGUCUGUGUUACUAAUAAAACACUUGUCAGUAUCGGCCAGUUACUAUCCAGCUUGUUUUCUUUUAAUGCAACUCAUUUUGCAGUGUUUUUUAAUUUAUUUUCUUUUUGGUCAUAUUUGAGACAUAACAUUUUGCAGCUUGUCAACUGGCUAACUUCACUGGGGAUAGAAAUGUGGAGAGGGAUUCAGUUUCUGUGUGAGACAAACUUUUGCUAAUAAUCUGCUGCCAUCAUGUGGUGUAACAGGGAACUGCAUUGGUCGACGCCAUAUUCCUACACUGCUCAAGAAACAAACUAACUCUAUUUUGGUUAAUGCUUUUCCACAAGAGAAUACCCUUCAGCUCCAAAGUAAGUGAUAAAGGUAUAUUGCCUCCCUCCUCUUACUGAUGGAAUCUACAUGGGUUGCCCCACAACUCAAAGGAUCUGACAACAGUUGCACUUGUUUAAAAGCAACCUAGGAACUGGACAAAAUCCUGUCCACAAGUGACUCAGCACAUUACAUCCUGUGCUUAAGCAGAGUAUAACCCACGAUCUUAAAAUCCCUGACACGGAAAAGAGAAGAUUAGCCUGUGCAUCGACAACUAUACAAUGAUCCAAAGGAACAACCCAUCACAAGAAUGUGAAGUACAUAGGGGAGUUCAGGCAGAGGUGUCACAUGAGCAAGCAGAGUGAGUCAGAGCUGUGGGCCACUUGCGCAAUGAACAGGUAAUCGUGGAGAAAGCCCCAAAAGCCAGAAUAGGAGAUCUGGACAAGAAGAAAUACCUUGUUCCUUCCGACCUGACAGUGGGCCAGUUUUACUUCCUCAUCCGGAAAAGA